RNAcentral lists this ribosomal RNA (253 nucleotides) under uncultured bacterium. RNAcentral's name for it is "partial 16S ribosomal RNA". It matches the Rfam family "Bacterial small subunit ribosomal RNA", at positions 524 to 776 of the family's 1533-position model. The record is from RNAcentral.
UACGAAGGGGGCGAGCGUUGUUCGGAUUUACUGGGCGUAAAGGGCGCGCAGGCGGUUCUGUUUGUCGGGUGUGAAAGCCCCGGGCUCAACCUGGGAACUGCGCUCGAAACGGCGGGACUAGAGAUCGGGAGAGGAGCGUGGAAUUCCCAGUGUAGAGGUGAAAUUCGUAGAUAUUGGGAAGAACACCGGUGGCGAAGGCGGCGCUCUGGACCGAGACUGACGCUGAGGCGCGAAAGCGUGGGGAGCAAACAGG